RNAcentral lists this ribosomal RNA (468 nucleotides) under uncultured bacterium. RNAcentral's name for it is "partial 16S ribosomal RNA". It matches the Rfam family "Bacterial small subunit ribosomal RNA", at positions 28 to 507 of the family's 1533-position model. The record is from RNAcentral.
GACGAACGCUGGCGGCGUGCUUAACACAUGCAAGUCGAGCGGAAAGGCCCUGCUUUUGUGUGGUGCUCGAGUGGCGAACGGGUGAGUAACACGUGAGUAACCUGCCCUUUACUUUGGGAUAACUUCAGGAAACUGUGGCUAGUGCCGGCUAGGAUCUCCUGCUUAAUGGUGGAGGUUGGCACGUUUCGGCGGGUGUGGAUGUACUCGCGGCGUAUCAGCUUGUUGGUGGGGUAGUGGCUUACCAAGGCUUUGACGGGUAGCCGGCCUGGGAGGGUGACCGGCAACAUUGGGACUGGAACAGGGACCCGACUCCGACGGGAGGCAGCAGUGGGGAAUAUGACACAAUGGGAGGGAGCGUGAUGCAGCAACGCCGCGUGCGGGAUGACGGCCUUCGGGUUGUAAACCGAUUUCGCCUGUGACGAAGAGUGAGUGACGGUAAUGGGUAAAGAAGCCCCGGCUAACUACGUG